CUGUAUACAAUGUUCUCCUGGUACUGCUCCUUUCGCUCUGCAUCACUUCCUGGAGGUUGUUCCAGUCUCCAUGGAAUUCCUCCACUUUAUUAUCCCUUUUAGUAUAAUAGCCUUUUAAUUCCUUCUCCUUCUCCCAGUCUCUCCCUUGACCAGUCCAGCCAAAGUAAAUUCUUGAAAGUGCAGACCUGACUGUUAUUACCCUGCCCCUGUGUCUAAAAUCAAAUGUAAACUUUUCACAGUGGCAUAUAAUGCCUAUCUCAGUCUAACUCCUUUCUAUUCUUCCAAUUUUAUUUCAAAAAAUCAACUACUCUUCCCCAAACUCUCCCUUCUUUCUUCAUCUACUUGCCUGAUGUAUAGUCUUCUUCUCUUCCUAUAAAGAAAUAAGCUUAGGGGUUAACCUCAUUUAUGAAUUCCUCUGUAGAAUUCAUUCAUCUAAUGAAUUUGUCUAUAAUUCCAUUAAUUAAUGAUCAUCAAAUUGGAUAGAACAUUGAAUGAGUCUUUGUUUUAAGUAAAAACAGUCUCAAAAUAUUUUUCUGUUUCAGAACAGAACAAAAUGAAAAAUGGAGGCCUUGGGAAAAUGUGCAAUGGGACUGAGAAAAAGGGCAAUUUACAUCUGCGAUGGGGCUCCGGUAGAAUUGACGAGGCUCAUCGGUGCCCAGGUGGAAUUGACAGAGGCUCAUGGACUUUUGGGAUGGAGAGGCCAGGGCAGAAUCCACGAUGGUGCUAGUCACUAAGCCGAGACGCGUUCCUUGGUCAAUACGUGCUGUGAUAAUGGAGGGACUGGCCCUAAUGGUCUAGUCCUUUCUAAAGAGCCUAGUCAACAUUCCCCACCUGCUUCUAAUGGAACACGUAGCAGCUUGGGAAAACUACUUCCAUCCAUGAGAGACUGGUGGGCUGAUGCUCCUUGUUUGUGAGGCGUCAUCAGAGUAUUCAGGGUUGUUGAGAAGCCAUAAGAACGAGCGAUUCAGGAAGCACUGAACCCCAGAACUCGAGUUCUCAUACGGAAGAAUUGCUGCAGCUCUCCCACGGGUGACUGGAGUGGAGAGCAGCAGCAGCUUCAUCCUGGCCUUUGGAGAUGACCAGAGAAGGGAAUCCCAAGGUAGCUUAGCCUGGGCCCGCCUUGAUCCCUACAUGUGUAUCUCAUUACAGUGACCCUGAGUCUGAGCCCACUAUCCCCAAGGACCUUGGGCCUGUGGAAGAAGAGUUUGUCUCCCAAUUUGGCCAGUUGUUUUGCAGUUACUGUUAGUGCUGCACCUUUUCAAUGAACAGCCUUUGACAAAAGUUAAAAUAGUUCUAGUGGUGGAUCAUUGUGAAUGGGAUAAAGAAAAUGACCAGCCUCCCAAAUUAUCAUUACAAACCUGGAGUCAGAGGGGGAAUGUAUUAGAAGCAGUCUUUACUCUUCCUCACGAGAGGGGCAAUUGCCCUGGUGGUGAUGCCAAUGCACGGCUGCAGACACGAGCAUUAUAGAGAUUCCUGAAGCAAGACCCCCUCCCUUCUUUGUCCCGUGCUCCAUUGUUUGGGGCUGAACUUACACACUAGGUGCAAAUUCUAAUCCAUCAGAAAACAGCAAGAUCCCUAGCAUGGGUUCCUCAUGAGCUUCCAUCAGGGAGGGGUACCAUGUCCUUGGGGGUGACUCCUCUGGCUCCUAAAGGUCUAAGGAGACAAGGAGCUCGUAUAGCCCAAUGGUUUUUGUCCUUGAGAAGAGAUAAGAGGCCUCCCAACUCACUGGGCCUGUGGCAAUAAUGAGGCGUCCUUGAGGUCUUAUUCUGUAAAUCUAAACAGACUUUCAUUCCUAAUUGGGGGGAGGGAGGAAGGAUGGAUGUCCACCCUGAGAAGAACAAAUUAAUUCUUUCAUUCCCCACAAUUGCAAGAUGGCACCAGACUGGGGCUAAUGAGCAACAAUAAAAGAUAUUCCAGCUAUUCA
This 1924-nucleotide long non-coding RNA is filed under the name Monodelphis domestica (gray short-tailed opossum). Its description in RNAcentral is "lncRNA (ENSMODG00000042458.1)". Lineage: Eukaryota; Metazoa; Chordata; Mammalia; Didelphimorphia; Didelphidae. The record is from RNAcentral.